Long non-coding RNA from Amblyraja radiata (thorny skate), 218 nucleotides. RefSeq lists it as uncharacterized. The transcript is spliced from 3 exons. The record is from RefSeq and is a predicted model, not a curated record. Lineage: Eukaryota; Metazoa; Chordata; Chondrichthyes; Rajiformes; Rajidae.
GGCUAUUUUUCCAAGGAAGAGUUUGAAGAAAUAAGUGACUGGGAGAUGGUCCGUUAUAAGAACGUGAAGUGGAAUUAUGAAGCCGCGCUUGCCAUUGUGACGGCCACUGAGAACAAGAGUUUGACAGUCGAUAUUCCAGACACGAGCAGUGGACACAACCCAGAUCGGGGACUGACGGGAUAUCUGGGAUCGGACAAUGAUCGGGCGAUUGUUCUUCC